ACCUGGGUGGCUUAGUCAGUUAAGCGUCCGACUUUGGCUCAGGUCAUGAUCUCACAGUUUGUGGGUUCAGACCCCACCUUGGGCU
RNAcentral lists this transfer RNA (85 nucleotides) under Felis catus (domestic cat). It matches the Rfam family "tRNA". From Rfam's summary of the family: Transfer RNA (tRNA) molecules are approximately 80 nucleotides in length. The record is from Rfam by way of RNAcentral. Lineage: Eukaryota; Metazoa; Chordata; Mammalia; Carnivora; Felidae.